Molecule: ribosomal RNA, 371 nt
Filed under: uncultured bacterium
Lineage: Bacteria
Description: bacterial SSU rRNA
Rfam family: Bacterial small subunit ribosomal RNA
Source: RNAcentral
ACGUAGGGUGCAAGCGUUAAUCGGAAUUACUGGGCGUAAAGCGUGCGCAGGCGGUUAUAUAAGACAGAUGUGAAAUCCCCGGGCUCAACCUGGGACCUGCAUUUGUGACUGCAUAGCUAGAGUGUGUCAGAGGGGGGUGGAAUUCCACGUGUAGCAGUGAAAUGCGUAGAGAUGUGGAGGAACACCGAUGGCGAAGGCAGCCCCCUGGGAUAACACUGACGCUCAUGCUCGAAAGCGUGGGGAGCAAACAGGAUUAGAUACCCUGGUAGUCCACGCCCUAAACGAUGUCUACUAGUUGUCGGGCCUUAAUUGGCUUGGUAACGCAGCUAACGCGUGAAGUAGACCGCCUGGGGAGUACGGUCGCAAGAUUA